GAUGAACGCUGGCGGCGUGCCUAAUACAUGCAAGUCGAACGAAGAUCUAGCUUGCUAGAUCUUAGUGGCGAACGGGUGAGUAAUACAUAAAUAAUCUGCCCAUAUGACUGGGAUAACUAUUGGAAACGAUAGCUAAUACCGGAUAGGUUGAUCGGAGGCAUCUCUGAUGAAUUAAAGUAGGAUUUCUACACAAAUGGAUGAGUUUAUGGCGCAUUAGUUAGUUGGUGGGGUAACGGCCUACCAAGACGAUGAUGCGUAGCCGACCUGAGAGGGUGACCGGCCACACUGGGACUGAGACACGGCCCAGACUCCUACGGGAGGCAGCAGUAGGGAAUUUUCGGCAAUGGGCGCAAGCCUGACCGAGCAACGCCGCGUGAGUGAUUAAGGCCUUCGGGUUGUAAAGCUCUGUUGUAAGGGAAGAACAUUCAGGAUAGGAAAUGAUCUUGAACUGACGGUACCUUACCAGAAAGCCACGGCUAACUACGUGCCAGCAGCCGCCGUAA
RNAcentral lists this ribosomal RNA (503 nucleotides) under uncultured bacterium. RNAcentral describes it as "partial 16S ribosomal RNA". It matches the Rfam family "Bacterial small subunit ribosomal RNA", at positions 28 to 523 of the family's 1533-position model. The record is from RNAcentral.